UGAGACUCAACUUACGCGAAUGGAAAACUGAAGCAUCUCAAUAGCCAGAGGAAAAGAAAGCAAAAGUAAUUCCCAUAGUAGCAACAAGCGAAAUAAGAGCAACCUAAAUCGUGAAAACAAGUUAUGGGAGAGUUAUACAAGUUUCGUGUUGCUAGGUGAACCAACAUAGAAUGCUGGACCCUAGAUGGCGAGAGUCCAAUAACCAAAAGCAUCACUAACUUACGCUCGGACUUGAGUAGCAUGAGACACAUGGAAUCUCAUGUAAAUCAGUAAGGACCACCUUACAAGACUAGAUACUCCA
Ribosomal RNA from Vigna angularis (adzuki bean), 301 nucleotides. It matches the Rfam family "Bacterial large subunit ribosomal RNA", at positions 42 to 477 of the family's 2925-position model. NCBI's taxonomy places the organism in Eukaryota, Viridiplantae, Streptophyta, Magnoliopsida, Fabales, Fabaceae. The record is from Rfam.